Molecule: microRNA precursor, 89 nt
Filed under: Pteropus vampyrus (large flying fox)
Lineage: Eukaryota; Metazoa; Chordata; Mammalia; Chiroptera; Pteropodidae
Description: miRNA (ENSPVAG00000025411.1)
Source: RNAcentral
CUGGACGAGUGAGUGUGUGUGUGUGUGUGUGUGUGUGUGUGUGUGCGCGCGCGUGCGCACACAUGAACACACACGCAAAAGCACACACU